RNAcentral lists this ribosomal RNA (480 nucleotides) under Staphylococcus sp. RNAcentral describes it as "bacterial SSU rRNA". It matches the Rfam family "Bacterial small subunit ribosomal RNA", at positions 93 to 560 of the family's 1533-position model. The record is from RNAcentral. Lineage: Bacteria; Bacillati; Bacillota; Bacilli; Caryophanales; Staphylococcaceae.
UAGCGGCGGACGGGUGAGUAACACGUGGAUAACCUACCUAUAAGACUGGGAUAACUUCGGGAAACCGGAGCUAAUACCGGAUAACAUGUUGAACCGCAUGGUUCAACAGUGAAAGACGGUCUUGCUGUCACUUAUAGAUGGAUCCGCGCCGCAUUAGCUAGUUGGUAAGGUAACGGCUUACCAAGGCAACGAUGCGUAGCCGACCUGAGAGGGUGAUCGGCCACACUGGAACUGAGACACGGUCCAGACUCCUACGGGAGGCAGCAGUAGGGAAUCUUCCGCAAUGGGCGAAAGCCUGACGGAGCAACGCCGCGUGAGUGAAGAAGGUCUUCGGAUCGUAAAACUCUGUUAUUAGGGAAGAACAAAUGUGUAAGUAACUAUGCACGUCUUGACGGUACCUAAUCAGAAAGCCACGGCUAACUACGUGCCAGCAGCCGCGGUAAUACGUAGGUGGCAAGCGUUAUCCGGAAUUAUUGGGCG